AUGAGGGAUAUUGCACAAUGGGGGAAACCCUGAUGCAGCGACGCCGCGUGGGUGAGGAAGUCCUUCGGGAUGUAAAGCCCUUUUCUGGGGGACGAAUGUCGGGAGCAAUCCCGGCUUGACGGUACCCCAGGAAGAAGCCCCGGCUAACUACGUGCCAGCAGCCGCGGUAAUACGUAGGGGGCAAGCGUUGUCCGGAUUUACUGGGCGUAAAGCGCGUGUAGGUGGGAAGGCAAGUCCGGUGUAAAAGCCCACGGCUCAACCGUGGAAGGUCGCUGGAAACUGCCUUUCUUGAGGGUGAUAGAGGGAAGUGGAAUUGCCGGUGUAGCGGUGAAAUGCGUAGAUAUCGGCAGGAACACCCGUGGCGAAGGCGGCUUCCUGGAUCACCCCUGACGCUGAGACGCGAAAGCGUGGGGAGCGAACGGGAUUAGAUACCCUUGUAGUCC
This 443-nucleotide ribosomal RNA is filed under the name uncultured bacterium. RNAcentral's name for it is "bacterial SSU rRNA". It matches the Rfam family "Bacterial small subunit ribosomal RNA", at positions 354 to 796 of the family's 1533-position model. The record is from RNAcentral.